UCGUAUUUCUACGUCCUUAAUAUAACGCGAUAACGCCUAUUUCACGAAAACAUCUGCGUAACAAACAUUGGGAUAUAAAAAAAACCCGAACGCGUUAUACCACGAUAAGCUAUUAUUAUAUUGACGUUAAGUCUCGAGAACAACCAGACACUAUUAGCACUUAUAAGAGAACGGACGUUUGAGUAAACAAGAUUUCUGUUGAAUUCAUAAACAUUUACGUUACGGGACAGGAAUUAAAGUGAGUAGUGAAUUUCCAUUAUCCAACUACACAUGAAGAUCGUACAGUUGAUAGUGUAGUUUAAUAUAUUUUGUGGCAAUGAAGAUUAUUUUUGUUUCGGAAAUCAAAUUGAGGUCAACUCUUAAUUUAUAGUAAUCGACUAACUGUGUAGAAAUGGCGAAGUGUUGUGUUUUGAUAGCUUUGUUGAUGAUUGCUUUGCAAGUGAAUAACGCCCGAAACAUCGGAUCAGCUCUAGUCAAGGUCGGAGACAACAACAAUACGUCUACACCAUACAUGACAUACGAGGAAUUAGUGUACAUCCUCAAAUUCAGACAUGGUGAGGAAAAUGCAAAACCGAAGCAUUUAACACCGUGUGCUCGAGCAAUUUUAGGAUGUUGUAAUAACAGGAUAAUGAAUGAAUAUUGCUCUGAAUCCUUAAAGUGUGGAUCCUAUUUCUUUGACGACAAUCCCUGCGAAGACAAAUUUAUCAUAGACGCUCUGGAAGCAGCGCGAGUAUUUUAUGAACAAUUCAACAGUAUAGCAGCAUAAAUAAGGUUCAAGAUGAAAUAUCAUAAAAAAAUGAAAGGUAACAGGGAAAAUCAGCCAAGGCUAACCUCAAGGAGUUGCGAUGAGGUAAACAUCUGACAGGAUAUUAAUUGGAACUGUUCACGAACAAUACAUAGAACAAAAGAAAAGAAAAAUACAAACCCAUAUUAUUCCAGGAUUCAAUCAAAUAAAUGAUGUAACAAUGUACGACGGAAGGAAAGAGGGAUACAUUACAGAUACAUUCAUACUAAAGGGGACUACGUACAGUGAACAAAGCGAUGGAAUUAAAGUACAGAUUUGAAUUUAGGAACCAGGUUUUGCUGACGGUUGGUUGUUACAUUUCAUUAAGAAACCUUGAUGAUAGAAGAAUUUCAAAGCAAAAUUAUGAUUAAGCUAACUAAUUAAAUAUGAUUUUCUUUCGUCGAUUAUUCUCAGGUAUCAAGUUUUUUUGUUCCAAACUUUUGGUAUAUUACAGACAAUCAAUGCGCAAAUCAAAUGCUACAAGAUUAAAUAAAAAAAUUGAUUAAAAAAAUAUAUAAUUUACAUUCAAAUUAAACCAACGAAAAUUUUUACAGUAACUUAUAUAAAACAUAAAACUUAUAUAUUUAUUUUAUAGUACUACUAUGGUAAUUUUAUAAUCCUUAAUGGUUUGUUAGCUAAUUCAAUACAACAACACGUUGUCAGUAUACGUUAAAUAUAUUUUGUUAAAAUCAAUACAAUAUUAGUUAUGUAUUACAAUGGCAAUAAAUCAUUAUUGACAGUGCAUGUGAUUGACAGACAUGUAGUGACGACAAUAUAAGGAAUAGAUUAUAUACAAACUAGCUGCUCCUGCGGCUUUUCUCGCUUGAAAUUUAUAAAACUUUACCUGUAAUUUACCGUCUCACACAACCUCGAGGGGUUAAAUAAAUCGAAAUCAACUGAUUUAGAUGAAAUUUGGAGCGGUUUAAGCGUGAAGAGGUAACGUAGUUACUUUCCUAUCUACAGUAUUAGUAUAUAAACCUAAAUACAUAAACUGUUAUUAUAUUAUCCAUAAUUAAUUACCUACCAAUUUCUUGUUAAAAAUAUGUAUAUCUGCCAUGUUAACGACAUUAUUCUGUGUAUAAAUCGCGGUAGUACCUACCUUACUAGUUUGUAUAAUUUUGUGACAAAAUAUACCGUAUGAAUGAGGUGUGGUGAUAUAAGCUAUUUCUAGUGAGAUAUACUCUUAUAUUUAAGGUUAUUUUUGAAAUUUUAAUAUAUGCUUUAGGUGUGAAAUAACGGACUUAGAAAUCACAUUAGCAGUGAUUUUAAUGCAUGCUUAAAAUUGCGGGAGGCAUCUCCGUUCAAUUUUGUACCCAAAGUUAUCUUAUAACGCCUUCAUUCUGUCAUACCAUUCAUUCUCACUGUAAAUAAUGUAAAAGUUAUAAAAAUGAAUUGUGUUCUCAAUCCACUUACUAUAUAAGAAGCUAAGAUAAUUCUUCAAAUAAAUGACGAAUUGAAAUUGACCCGAAUUAAAAUAAAUUACACAACAAAUAUCAAAUUAUACGCCUGAAUAUUUCUAACCAAAGCCUCAUAAAAGCGAACGAGGAAAAUAUUGAAUAUGGAGAAAAACAUCGACGGUAACUAAGGGCGAUUUUCGACGAUAUAACUUAGAUUUUUGUGAUAUUAGAUGUCGUACACACGUGCGAUACGUGAUAAGUGUUAGCAAUAAAAUGCUUUAAGUA
Long non-coding RNA from Vanessa tameamea, 2466 nucleotides. RefSeq lists it as uncharacterized. The transcript is spliced from 2 exons. The record is from RefSeq and is a predicted model, not a curated record. Lineage: Eukaryota; Metazoa; Arthropoda; Insecta; Lepidoptera; Nymphalidae.